GAAGGUUCCUGAGAUGGACUCUCGCCCGCCUGGCGACACUGGCCGCCCGGCAUCGUGCCCGGCCCAGGUGGGCAUUUCACUGAUGAGCAGCUGUGGGGACGGCGAGCUCCGGCAGCCGCCCCGACCCCGCCGGGUGCACCUGCGCGCGGUGCCGCCGCCUCCCGCCGCCAGUGCCCGACCCCGGGCCACCGAACUCGCCACCCCUCCCCUCCGGUCAGCCCGCACGGCGGCGGAAGCGCCCCGACCCCCGGCAGGCACCGGAGAGCCGCGGGGGAAGAGAGCUCGCCAUCACAUGGAGGCCCGGGCCCGCCCCCAUUGGCUGCGGCCGAGCCAGUGGCGGCGCUCGCCGGCUGCGGUUGGUCCCGAAGCUGCAGCGCCUGCACGGGCCCGGAGUCCAUGUUACGCUUUGUCUAAUUCCCCCCGUUACAGAGUCAUGUGCUGCUGCUCCUGUCGCCGCCGCUGCCGCCGCCCGUGGUGCCCCGGCUCCUCCGCCGCGCUUCGAGGUGGCAGCCGCGGGCGGGGCCGCGGGAGCAGGGUACAGGGCGCCGCGCGCCUCCGCCGCCCCGGCGCGUCCGGGAGCAGCAGUAGCCGCAAGCCGCAGGUGAUGCCGCCACCUCUCGCCUCCGCCUAAGCCGGGGCUAGGCGGCCAAAGCUGCCCGGGCUGCCCCCCCAAGGUUGGUGCGCGCCUCUCCCGGGCAGGGGCCGGGGACUGUGCCGGUGGAGCCGCGCCGCAGCCGACACGCGCCACCCCGGCGCCGGCGACCUGCCCCGCGGCGCCGCGGCCCGAGCGGAGGCUGUGGCUGGGACCUCGCGGGCUGGGGGACGCGGGCGGCAAGCGGGCCGGGCCGAGCGCUAGCUUCGUCCCCGAAGAUCGUUCCGCUUUCGGCAAUUUGAGCGGCGGGUGCCGGGGCCGCGGAGUGGGCCCCGUGAGAGGACCGUGCCGGCCUGCGACCGCCUCUCUCCGGCUCCCCGCCACGCGCGCUCCCUUCUCUCGCCUCCCUCCGCCCCAUCGGAAGGGCGGGGAGACCCGGUUACGGCUCGGCUGAUUCUUCCCGGAGGUGGGUGUUCGGUGUCUGGCCUCGCUGGCCCGCUGCCCAGAAGACAGGAAGUGCACGGCCGUCUGUAACGUGCUGCCGGGUCCCAGGAUGGAGGAGUGAAGCCCCCGCCGCAUCGCGCCGGUCCCAGCUCGCGGAGCCCGCCAGCAGCCAGUCCCCGGAGAGGAGAGCGCCCUGAGGGUGCAGGGUGGCCGGCUGGUCCAGUACCAAGCUGGAUGGCAUCACCGACUCGAUGGACACGAGUUUGGGUAAACUCCGGGAGUUGAUGAUGGACAGGGAGGCCUGGCGUGCUGCGGUUCAUGGGGUCGCAAAGAGUCGGACAGGACUGAGCGACUGAACUGAACUGAACUGAACCUGCUGGGUGUUUUCAAGAAAGUCAUAAAUUUUGUAAAUACUGCAGUUUGUUAGUCUGUGUAAUUGGGACUAUUAUCUUUUGCUGCUUAACUGCUGCAUUCAAGUAAACAAAAGACAAGUGAAGCUUUUCAUGUCUUCUGAAAGAGGAGGGCCUAAAAAAACAAACACUUUUUUGUUCUUUUUCCAAAAAAAGCGUAAUUCUCCAUUUUUAUGUAUUUUAUUACUAGAGUCAGGAAAUUUUAAGGUUAGAAAUGAAGUAGUAGUCAUAUUCUGUUUAAAGCUAAUAGAAUUAUACAUUUAGAUAUAUACAGAAAAUUAGAAAUGUUAUGAAAUAAGUGUAAAAAAGAAUUCAUUCACAGUACAUUUAUUAUUGCAACUGUUAAAAUAUAUACACAUUUUAAAGGAAAUGUAAAGAUUAAAUAUUGCUAUUUAAGGAAUUAUGAGUAAAAUUUAAAAAACUUUCUUUGUAAUAUUCUUAUGUUAGAUAUUUUACAGGAAGUAGAGAAGUCAGAAGUUUCUGGGGUGCUUACUAAGAUUAGUUGGAAACGUUACUGAGUUUUUAUGUUUGUAGUAUAAAGUAUAUUAGCAGACUAUUUAAUAGAUGUGUGGAGUAGAGAAGUAAUUUGCCUCUUUUUAAAACUCAUUUCUGAAUGAAAGACUUGAUACAUGGAAAUAUUAAUGGAGAAACAACAAUGACAAAUCCAGGGCUUGUUACUAGGUUAGCCCAUUUAUCUAAGCAUUUGGGCUUGGUGCCUCUGAUCUGCUGCUGCUGGUCCCUUCAUUCUGGUUUUAAUUUGUCAAAGUCUGUGCUGUAACACUUUCUCUGCCUUUUUGUUCCUCUUGUACAGCUGUGAAAAUUACUUAAGUGAGAAAUGGUUUGGGGGUAAGAACUGUGAAUGGAGAAAAGAAAUAAUCCACUCAUUAUUUAAAUACAAGGAAAGAGGAUUAUCUGCAAUCCUGAGCUUUUACCCCCGAAGAACUGAUAGUAUAAAUAGGUCGUCUUAGCUUUUAUAAAUGUAAACCGUAAUGCCUUAAUAACGACUCUUAGGAAAAAGUCAAGAGGCACUAAUUUUGAGGUACCUUUUUAUCCUUUUACUUUAUGAUGAUUCCUCUAUAUGAUUCCUAAAUUAUUUGCUCUUUGAAAGAAGUAUGAGCUUGUAAUCAGCCCUGCCACAGAUGCCCAGUAUGGGAUCUAGACACUAGAGCAGUGCCUUGACAGAGGCCGACUCCCGUUUUGUGCUUUCAGGAGGUGGUUGUAAACAGCGAAGUGAAAAUGUAAAAAUGGCAAAAAUGACUGUGGCUGUAACCUGCAAAAAUACUGAGCAUUAAAAUAAUCCUUAUAUAAUUGCCAGAUUGAUACACAUUUUAUAAAUACAUAUAAUGAAUAAAAUAUAUGAAAAUAUUUUACAUAUUUGCUAAAAUGAAGUUCCCGGCCUUUUUUAGUGUUUAAUUCUAGAUGAGUGAUUCUUACAUUUUAGGACACAGUAACAAAGCAACAUUUUUACAACAGUCUUAAAAUAUGAUUUACCAAGUAGUAUUCUCACUUUCCAGAUGGAACCUAAAAACCAAGCAGUAAGUUGAAGUUGAAGGCCACACAGUAGAUGAGCUGUUCAUUCCUAAGUAAGCUUUCAUCAGUGCUAGGAAAGAGAGCUUAUAAAUCUCCAACUUAAGGAGUAAGUAGAUUUAUCUGAACCAUUACAAAAUUAAGGGAAUGUACAUUUUCAGCUUUUCUGGAAGAAAUGAACACCUCUGUACUCUGAUCUCUUUCAAAUUCAUCAUAUUUUGAGCUAAAUAUUAUGCUAAAACAUAAGGCAACUGAUUUCUUUCCUAACAAAAAUAAAUUUACAUCUUCCUCUGUGAAUGUGAAGAUAACUAACCAAAGAUAAGCCCACCUUCAACUGUCAUAAGCUUACUUCUCUGUAAUAAGUUUACUAAUCCCAGAGCUUGUUGCCCUUACCUUAAAAGUGCUAUUUUUAGGGAAAAAAAAAAAUUACAGAAUUUUUUGAGAUUAAAAAAAUUAUAUAGUUUUUUGAGAUUUUCCUUGAAAGUUUUCUAAUGUUUUCCCUCCCUCCAUUUAGUUAUGGAUGGGGGCUUUGACAGGAAGCCUCAUGUUUGUUGCAGAUAUGAUCAUCUCCUGGGAAAAAGACAGGUGGAAAUUGGUGGGAGACAGAUUUCAGCUUAAUAUAGAGGACAGAUCUCCUUUAAAGCCAUGCAGAGCCAGACUCAACUGCCUGGCACUGUCGAGGGCCCAGCCCUGAGGGCGCCUUGUAGGGGCUGUCCAUCCUUGGCCGAAGCUGUAGAGAGACCCAAAACCUCCCAUGGGAGGAGGGGGAUCAGAGAUGUCCUCCGAGGUCACACAGUGCAUCUUCAGUCAUAAGCUUUGUGCUGGAAGAACUUCGUUCAGGUACCAGCUCUGCUGUGUACUAGCUGUGCAACUCUAGGAAAGUAAUCUAGAUUACUUUCUCUAAGCCUCAGUUUGCCCUUAAAAUGAGAACAAAAUGAUGUGAGGCUUACAUGAAUGUAAUGAAUGUAAAGCACUUGGUGUAGUCAUUCCUUCUGAUUCUGUAGCUUUUCACUCUCUGCCCCUUUUCUGUUAUUUUUCUGUCCUCACAUUCAUUCUUUUGCAGUCUCUGUUUUCUCUCCAGUUCUCUACCUGUGUCCUAGGGCCUGCCCAUGGUGCCAGGGAUGCCCUGAGCUCCUUCAGCAACCUUACCAUCAGUGUCCGAUUCCUAGGCAACUCAGUGAACAACUGGUGAUCCUCUGUGUCCUUUAGAUUUGGCAUGAGGGAUGGCACUGAAGAUCUUAAUAAAGCCAAGACACAUUGCUGCAUUAGCUUUCACUGUGGCACUUGCAGCUUCACAGUUGAUGGCCAUGAAAGCACUGAAUGGAGUUGGAUAUGGACAGAGAAAAAAUUUUUUAUACAAAGCAUUAUGAAAGUAAAAAUGUGCUGGCAGCAUUUAAUUUUUCUUUUAUUUAAGUCUCUCUUAGGGAGUCAGGCUCCUAAUUGUGAGUAUUAUAUUUUAGAGAGAAGAAGAAUAUCAGGACCACAGAGCCAGAAGCAUUCUUUUUAACAGGAACAUUUAACAUAACCUUAGGGAAUUGCUGUGGGUAGUAAAGGGGCAGUAUAAAAAUUUUGUUUAUUACGUACUAUUUGAAGACCACUUGCUUGACAGAGUGAUAGCCCUUAGAAGUGUGGUGGAAACUCUUUAGUACAUCUUGACUAAAAGAGAUGUGGCUAUACCCUUAAAAAAUACAGGUUGCUAGGGCUGGAAAGCAACUUUGUGGACACUCAGUUCAGUGAUUUUCUCUUAUAAAUAAUGAAGUGGAGAAUCAGAGACAUGAGGUAACCUGUUCCUUGAAAUGUAACUCUUUGUAUUAAACAAAGGCCCACUGGAAGACAUGGCCUCUGCCACUGCAGUUAUUUUCUUAUAUUCCACUGCAGUACUAUAACUCUGGCCUCUGGAUCUGGAAGCCGUAUCUCUGUGGCUCAAAGAUGGUCUCUACUCUGUUAGCCCUGGUUGCUAAGUAAUGAUAUGAUAAGAAACUUCCCAUGUUCUUACUCAGAUUCUUUCUUUUGUUCAUGUUUGAUGACUUUAUGAAAUCUUUGAUUUAUUUGGGGAUUCCCUGGUAGCUCAGCUGGUAAAGAAUCCACUUGCAAUGCAGGAGAACCUACUUCAAUCCCUGGGUCUGGAACCCUGGAGAAGGGAAAGGCUACCCACUCCAGUAUUCUGGCCUUGAGAAUUCCAUGAACUGUAUAGUCCAUGGUGUUGCAAAGAGUCAGACACAACUGAGCGACUUUCACUUUAUUUGGUUUAUUUGAUUGCUCUGGCCCAGGAAUCAUUUACAUAGGCAAAUAUCUGGACAGCUUAGUUUUCCUGUAUUUGACAAUUUUUUGAUCUCUUACUCCAUGCCAGGCACAUUUAUAUUUUUAAGUAGUUUACAUGAGCUAACUCUGGCAGACAGGCAUAGUUAUCUAUACUCAGUUAUCAGAAAACUGAAGUUUACAGGGCUUAAGCAUUUAUUCCAGAUUCUAUAGUUUGCAAACUGGAACUAGAUCUCAAAUCAGUUUUCCAGACCAUGUGUUCAUAAUUUCUGCCUUGUCUACAUUUUCUGCAGCCCUUACUGCCUGUGUAAUGGAAAACAGGGCAUAGAAUUGAAAUCUUGUGGCAGAUAAUCCAAAGAGGAUCAUCUGACCUAACCUCUUAGCUUCUGACAGAUGAGGUGUGAUUUCAUACAUGAGAUAUUCAAAGCCUUGUUUUUAUUUAUUUUUUUGGUUUGAUACUUCAAAGUAAAAAUGAUAUUUUAGUUUUUUAUUAGUAUAAAAGUAGUAAAUCCUCAUUACAGGAAAAUGUGAAAAUAUAAGAAAUAAAGAAGAAAAUUACAAUAAUCUUUAUAGCUUUUUGUAGCUCAGAUGAUUAAAAGUGGGUUCAGAUUUCAGCUUUAUCACUUACUAGUGCUGUUUGACUUCGAGCAAAUUUUAUAGCUGACAUUUCCAUGCCUCAGUUUCCUGUGUGUAAAGCAAGAAAACUCAGUGUGCCUAACUUGUGCAGUAGUUAUGAUUAAGUGGGUUCUUAUUUGUGAGACAUUGAGAAUAGUGCCUGACACAUAAUAAGUGUGAUACAAGUGUUGAUGAAAUAAAUGAUCAUCCAUGUCAAUAGUCUUCCCAUCUUUGGCCCCUGGAGAAAGAACUAGAGGCAGACACAGAAUGUAGAUCGUGCAUUGCAGUGAAUGGGUAAUGGACUGAGAUGUGUGGAGAUGGAGGCAGGGGACCCUCUGCCUCUGUUUGCCUCCUUAAUAAUCCUAGAAAUCCUUGAAAGUUUCACCUUCAAGACUGAAAUGAUUCUCCUCUUUCUGCUCCUUGCUCCCAGGGAGCCCACAGAAACCAAGCCUGUUUAUUGCGUAUCUUCUUUUGUAGGCUAGGCCAGACGUGAAUUUCCUUUCAUGUGAUAUUUUCUGUGGUCUGUGUUAGUUUAGUUUUUCCUUUGUUUUCUUGUGCUUUGGUGUGAAGAAGAUGCCCUGUUUAUAGAGCCUUGGUGUCUUUCAUGUAUAAUGCAUUCUUCAGCUAAUUCUAGUUGCUCUGACCCUUUGAGAGUUUUAAAUUGCUUUGUUCCAGUUUCUAAGCAUUUUUGAAAUAUUAAAAAUGUUCAUGAGGGAGUGGGUCAUGGGAAAACUUUUCCCAGAGUUGUUUGUCCUUAGCAAAUUGUGAAUUUGCAUGGAGCGGUUUAAUGCUGGGUUAAAUUCUGCCAGGUGCAGUGGUCACUUGAACUUGAAUUCCGAGUUCUUUUGAUAUUUAAAUCCAUGUUUCUCAGCCAUGAAGUGGAGAGUGGGAGCCUCUUAAACCUAAGUGCCUAUGUGGAGCUGUUGCUCUUUGUCCCAUCAAAGGAAGGUCUUAAGUAGUUCGGGUUUGCAUUGAAGCACCGUGUCAAUAGUAAGGAUCAAAAGAUUUGUCUGUUUUCAGAUUUUGUCUUUGAACCAAGACUUUCCCAAAAGAACACAGGCUUGUUUUGAAUAUUGCCGCCUCUGGGUGUGAGUGAUUAUGCAAGUCAGUAGUAUUUUUAAAAAAUAUUCUUAAUGGAUGCAGAGGUAUGAAAUUGCAAGAAAAACAGAAGUAUUUUUUUCCAACAACUCGUACAAAGCAGCCUUUGAAUGCAGGUGGUCCUCAACUUACAAGGAUUUGCAAUUCUUCCUCCAUCUGGUGAAAGAUACCAUCUACCAGUUACCACUUGGCCAUUUUCCAUAAUAUUGGGUUGGCCAGAAAGUUCAUUCAGGUUUUUCUUUAACAGCUUACUGAAAAACUGGAAUGAACUUUUUGGUCAACCCAAUAUAUCCUUCUCAUUUAACUCCCACCUGCAAUGAGUUGUCAAGCUGUCUCAAUUCUGUCUUAAACUUAAGUUCCUAGAUUUUAUCCGAUAUGUCUUAAAACUCUCCCAUAUGCUGCUCUAGUGCAGGAUUCCCAGGUGGCCACCUUCCUGUCUUGCCCAGCCUGCUGAAGCUGCCUCUAGCCGUCCUUUCUGACCUUGACCUCCAGUGCUCUGUACACCUGAAGUCUGAGGGGUUUUUACAAAAUAAAACUCAAUGUGUGUGACCUGUAUAAAACCCUCCAGUGAUUUCUCAUCACCCUCAGAAGUCCUCCCUAAGGAAUUAAAAGUCAGACCCUUUAAGAAGUCUUCAGGGCCUUGCAAGAGGAAGUCCCUGCCUCUAUCUAGAAUCAACAGCUCUUACCCUACCCCCACCAUGGCCAGCCCCCCACCCCAACCAGCAUACAUCAGACUCACACUCCACUUACAGCCUUGCAGGACUUCUUUCUGUUCCUCUAAUCUUCUGUGCUUUCCUGACAAGUCUGAAGGGUGUGUCUGAUGCUGAGAUUACUCUCCCCCUCUGUUGCUUCACUUUUCUCUGAAGUUGUGUUAGUCACUCAUUCGUGUCCGACCCCAUGGACUGUAGCCCACCAGGUUCCUCUGUCCAUAGGAUUCUCCAGACAAGAAUACUGGAGUGGGUUGCCAUCCCCCUUUCCAGGGAGGCUUCCCAACCCAGGGAUUGAACCUGGGUCUCCUGUGUUACAGGCAGAUUCUUUACUGUCUCAGCUACUUCUAGCUCCUAUUUCUUCUUUUUUUCUUAGCUUAAAUGUAAUUUCCUCUCAGGGAGUCCUCUUCACCCCAUAAACUAAAUAAAGUCCCCUUGCUAUUUUUUUCUGUAAUACUUCCUAUCUCUUUGGCAUUUCACUUGUUACAUUCGCAUGCCUUUUUCAAUAAAUUCUAAGCCCCAUGAAGGCAUAGAUGUGUCUGUCUUGUUCUACACUGUAUUGUAAUUACCAGGUCCACAGUAGGAUCUUGAAUGUUUUUUGAGUGAAUGAACAUGUUCAAAUCAACCCCAUAUUAGUGUUUGCCAGCCACACAUGCAUUUCAGCCAUCCCCUUUUGUUGACUUAAAUUAGCUUUGCUUAAUUGUACUAACUGUAUAUAAACAUGAAAUAAAAUAUGUACUCCUUAUGCUUAUAGCUUUUAUAUAGCUGUUAAACCAUUUUUAAAAAUCACCAAUAAAUGCAAAAAUUAUUAAACAA
Molecule: RNA transcript, 8468 nt
Organism: Bubalus bubalis (water buffalo)
Lineage: Eukaryota; Metazoa; Chordata; Mammalia; Artiodactyla; Bovidae
Gene: LRRC8D
Gene name: leucine rich repeat containing 8 VRAC subunit D
Exons: 3
Source: RefSeq, a predicted model, not a curated record